GACGAACGCUGGCGGCGUGCUUAACACAUGCCAGUCGAACGGAAAGGCCUCUUUCGGGGGGUACUCGAGUGGCGAACGGGUGAGUAACACGUGAGUAACCUGCCCUUGACUUUGGGAUAACUUCAGGAAACUGGGGCUAAUACCGGAUAGGAGCUCCUGCUGCAUGGUGGGGGUUGGAAAGUUUCGGCGGUUGGGGAUGGACUCGCGGCUUAUCAGCUUGUUGGUGGGGUAGUGGCUUACCAAGGCUUUGACGGGUAGCCGGCCCGAGAGGGUGACCGGCCACAUUGGGACUGAGAUACGGCCCAGACUCCUACGGGAGGCAGCAGUGGGGAAUAUUGCACAAUGGGUGGAAGCCUGAUGCAGCAACGCCGUGUGCGGGAUGACGGCCUUCGGGUUGGAAACCGCCUUCGCUCAUGACGAAGCUUUGUGUGACGGUAGUGGGUAAAGAAGCACCGGCUAACUACGUG
RNAcentral lists this ribosomal RNA (467 nucleotides) under uncultured bacterium. Its description in RNAcentral is "partial 16S ribosomal RNA". It matches the Rfam family "Bacterial small subunit ribosomal RNA", at positions 28 to 507 of the family's 1533-position model. The record is from RNAcentral.